This 494-nucleotide ribosomal RNA is filed under the name uncultured bacterium. RNAcentral describes it as "partial 16S ribosomal RNA". It matches the Rfam family "Bacterial small subunit ribosomal RNA", at positions 28 to 507 of the family's 1533-position model. The record is from RNAcentral.
GACGAACGCUGGCGGCGUGCUUAACACAUGCAAGUCGAACGGUGAAGCGCCUUCCUUUUUGGUGGGUGUGGAUGAGUGGCGAACGGGUGAGUAACACGUGAGUAACCUGCCCCCUUCUUCUGGAUAACCGCAUGAAAGUGUGGCUAAUACGGGAUAUUCUGGGUCUGUCGCAUGAUGGGUCUGGGAAAGAUAUUGUUUCGGUGGGGGAUGGGCUCGCGGCCUAUCAGCUUGUUGGUGGGGUGAUGGCCUACCAAGGCGGUGACGGGUAGCCGGCCUGAGAGGGUGGGCGGUCACACUGGGACUGAGACACGGCGCAGACUCCUACGGGAGGCAGCAGUGGGGAAUAUUGCACAAUGGGCGCAAGCCUGAUGCAGCGACGCCGCGGGAGGGAUGGAGGCCUUCGGGUUGUGAACCUCUUUCGCCAGUGAAGCAGGCCUGCCUCGUUUGUGGGUGGGUUGACGGUAGCUGGAUAAGAAGCGCCGGCUAACUACGUG